This 409-nucleotide ribosomal RNA is filed under the name uncultured bacterium. RNAcentral's name for it is "bacterial SSU rRNA". It matches the Rfam family "Archaeal small subunit ribosomal RNA", at positions 335 to 747 of the family's 1478-position model. The record is from RNAcentral.
GCAGGCGAGAAUACUCCACAAUGCACGUAAGUGUGAUGGGGGGAGUCUGAGUGAUGUACUUAGUACAUCUUUUGCCAAGUUUAGCCAGCUUGGAGAAUAAGUGCUGGGCAAGACCGGUGGCAGCCGCCACGGUAAUACCGGCAGCACAAGUGGUAUCCGCGAUUAUUGGGCUUAAAGCGUCAGUAGCUGGUUGAAACCGUCUUAUGUGAAAUAUUGGUGCCUAACACCAAUGCGGGCAUAAGAUACCUUUCAGCUAGGGAGUGGGCGAGGUCAAGAGUACUCAUGGGGUAGGGGUAAAAUCCUGUAAUCCUAUUAGGACUACCUGUGGCGAAGGCGCUUGACCAGAACACAUCCGACAGUGAGUGACGAAGGCUAGGAGAACGAAUCGGAUUAGAUACCCCCGUAGUCC